GGGGAUCUGGCCGAGUGGUUAAGGCGUUGUGUUUAGGCCGCAAUUCGAAAGAGCGUGGGUUCGAAUCCCACGGUCCUCA
RNAcentral lists this transfer RNA (79 nucleotides) under Botrytis cinerea T4. RNAcentral's name for it is "tRNA-Leu (TAG) (tRNA-Leu-TAG-1-1)". It matches the Rfam family "tRNA". From Rfam's summary of the family: Transfer RNA (tRNA) molecules are approximately 80 nucleotides in length. Their secondary structure includes four short double-helical elements and three loops (D, anti-codon, and T loops). The record is from RNAcentral. RNAcentral also lists the same sequence under 1 other name. Lineage: Eukaryota; Fungi; Ascomycota; Leotiomycetes; Helotiales; Sclerotiniaceae.